This 253-nucleotide ribosomal RNA is filed under the name uncultured bacterium. RNAcentral's name for it is "partial 16S ribosomal RNA". It matches the Rfam family "Bacterial small subunit ribosomal RNA", at positions 524 to 776 of the family's 1533-position model. The record is from RNAcentral.
AACGUAGGAGACGAACGUUAUCCGGAGUUACUGGGCGUAAAGGGCGUGCAGGCGGUUGGAUAAGUCUGGCGUGAAAUCUUUCGGCUUAACCGGGGGAUGUCGUCGGAGACUGUCGGACUAGAGGGUGAUAGAGGCGUGUGGAAUUCCGGGUGUAGUGGUGAAAUGCGUAGAGAUCCGGAGGAACACCAGUGGCGAAGGCGACACGCUGGGUCACACCUGACGCUAAGACGCGACAGCAUGGGGAGCAAACGGG